Molecule: ribosomal RNA, 476 nt
Filed under: Hyalomma scupense
Lineage: Eukaryota; Metazoa; Arthropoda; Arachnida; Ixodida; Ixodidae
Description: partial large subunit ribosomal RNA
Source: RNAcentral
UGCUCAAUGGAUUUUUAAAUUGCUGUAGUAUUUUGACUAUACAAAGGUAUUGUAAUAAGAUUUUAAUUGAAUGCUAAAAGAAUGGAAAUUUAAAAAAAAACUUUUUUAAAAAUAAAAAUUGAAUUUUUUUUAAUUUGUGCAAAAACAAUUAUUAUUAUUAAAGACAAGAAGACCCUAAGAAUUUAUGAUUUUGCAAUUAGAAUUUUUUUCAAAAAAUCUUGAUUGGGGCGAUCAAAAAAUAUUAAUAACUUUUUAAAUUUAAAUUGAUCUAUUAUUAAUAAACUAAUGAAUUAAAUACUCUAGGGAUAACAGCGUAAUAAUUUUUGAUAGAUCUUAUUGACAAAAUAGUUUGCGACCUCGAUGUUGGAUUAGGAUCCUUUUUUAAUGAAGAAGUUAAAAAAAGAAGUUUGUUCAACUUUUAAAUUCCUACUUGAUCUGAGUUCAAACCGGACAGCAUUUAUUUAAUCAUUGACCAA